Molecule: microRNA precursor, 83 nt
Filed under: Tursiops truncatus (common bottlenose dolphin)
Lineage: Eukaryota; Metazoa; Chordata; Mammalia; Artiodactyla; Delphinidae
Description: miRNA (ENSTTRG00000024733.1)
Source: RNAcentral
UAAGGUGACCAGCCACCCUGGUUUGCCUGGGACUGAGGGCUUUCCCAGGAUAUGAGACUUUCAGCGCUAAAACUUCGACAGGC